GCCCGGGUGGUGGAAUUGGUAGACACGCCACUUUGAGGGGGUGGUGCCGGUUACGGUGUGUGAGUUCAAAUCUCGUCCCGGGUAC
Molecule: transfer RNA, 85 nt
Filed under: Bacteroidia bacterium
Lineage: Bacteria; Pseudomonadati; Bacteroidota; Bacteroidia
Description: tRNA-Leu
Rfam family: tRNA
About the family: Transfer RNA (tRNA) molecules are approximately 80 nucleotides in length. Their secondary structure includes four short double-helical elements and three loops (D, anti-codon, and T loops).
Source: RNAcentral